AGGAAUCUGUUGAUGGCCUUUUGAUUCCGGAUGAACUGGACAAUCAGACGGUUCAGGUACACAAACAAAGCUCCACCAAAACCACUGGCAAUGCUGCAAUGAGAGAUGGACAUGCAUGAGAGAUGAUAGUCUCCAGCUGGAGAGUGGGAGUUCUCUCACGAGUCGCACCUGUCUCGAAUCUGGCCUCAUUGUCUGCUUUAAAAGGCAAGCCACGCUGACAAUAGGCUGUGAGAUUAUUAGACUUAUCCCGACUCUCUGAGCAAGUGCUUAAUUUCCUAGAUAUUCAUGACAUUUUUGCGUCAAUGCCUUGCCUCAUUAGUUUAUAGUUUUUGGUUCUUGUAUUUUCCUUGUUAUGUAUUCUUGUUGUAUAUUCUCUGUGUAUUGAAUUUUCUUGUCCUUUAAAUUGAUAAGAAAUGUUUGUUUCUCUCGUUCAUUGCCUUUUGCAAGUGCUUUUCAUUUGUUCUUGCUUUUUGCUGGUUCCAUGUUCCCAGCGUCCAUCGUUGUACUUUGUCGGUCUUGCAUUUUUGUUAAUCAAUAUAAUUAAUCUCUGUGUCUACAGUUUUGGAAUCCUCAUUCUGUCCGGGCUUUGUCCAGACACUCAAAACUUGUGACAUAAUUAUGGAUGGAUGUUUGACCACUCUUCUUGGUCGAAUUUAUCCAUACAUACAUUUUCUGCACAUAAAAAUGUAAAAAUAUGUAAAAUAAGCAUGUGUAGAUCAUAGGACU
Hippocampus zosterae (dwarf seahorse) is the source of this 726-nucleotide long non-coding RNA. RefSeq lists it as uncharacterized. The record is from RefSeq and is a predicted model, not a curated record. The transcript is spliced from 2 exons. Lineage: Eukaryota; Metazoa; Chordata; Actinopteri; Syngnathiformes; Syngnathidae.